Rhinopithecus roxellana (golden snub-nosed monkey) is the source of this 458-nucleotide long non-coding RNA. RefSeq lists it as uncharacterized. The record is from RefSeq and is a predicted model, not a curated record. Lineage: Eukaryota; Metazoa; Chordata; Mammalia; Primates; Cercopithecidae. The transcript is spliced from 4 exons.
UGACAGACUCUUCAGUCUUUAAUAAUGUGAGAAUAAACAGAGUCAAUUAAAAGCAUACCAUAUUCUUCUCAGCUUCCUCAUGGGAUUUGUCCGAACAGCUUGAACAACUGCAAAAUAAUAUUCAGGAACCAUGAUAGUGUUUGGUACACAGAGGACACUGGAAAUAGUUUUCAUAACUGAACAAGUGACUAGAAUAAAGGAAUUAAUGAAUGACAUCAGAGCUGAAAUCCCAAACCAUAAAUCAUAAAAGAAUCAGACACCAGAGCUGCGUUUUUAAGAUUAAAUUUGCACGCUUAAUAAUGGCUUGACCCUGACUGUUGCCCGGGAUACAGCCUGCAGGUGGGCGAUUAAAAGCAAAUCAAUCAGAGCAUUACCAUGAACUAACGGUCCAGGAAGUUGAGAAUGAGAACGAAGAUGACUGAUGAAUAAAGGAGCUUGACGUUGACUCAAAGCAGAAG